AAGGUUUGACAUGGAGGGCAAAGUUGAAGAAAUUCAACGGAGGUUAUCCCGACACAGGUGGUGCAUGGUCGUCGUCAGUUCGUGCUGUGAAGCAUAUGCUUAAGUGCUAUAACGAACGCAACCCUCGUAUUUAGUUACUAUCAUUCAGUUGAGAACUCUAAAUAGACUGCUAAGGUAACUUAGAGGAAGGAGAGGAUGACGUCUGAUCAUCAUGCCCCUUAUAUCUUGGGCUA
Molecule: ribosomal RNA, 233 nt
Filed under: uncultured bacterium
Lineage: Bacteria
Description: partial 16S ribosomal RNA
Rfam family: Bacterial small subunit ribosomal RNA
Source: RNAcentral